Molecule: unclassified non-coding RNA, 237 nt
Filed under: Hevea brasiliensis (rubber tree)
Lineage: Eukaryota; Viridiplantae; Streptophyta; Magnoliopsida; Malpighiales; Euphorbiaceae
Source: RNAcentral
AACACUUUCGACAGAGCAGAGAAAAUGUAUGGAAACGUAGCAAACAUGAUGAUUCAGGGGAGAAACAAGACAGUGUUACUACUACUAAUGAUGGCAACAAAGAACAUCGCCAUUGGGAACCUUUUGCCACCCAAAAUCUUGCAUUUGAUGAUUAUUAUAAGGAGCAAGGAAUAUUGCCAACUGAAGAAUGGGAUACUUUUAUUGGGUUUCUUAGAACUCCAUUGCCGGCUGCUUUCA